Molecule: ribosomal RNA, 446 nt
Filed under: uncultured bacterium
Lineage: Bacteria
Description: partial 16S ribosomal RNA
Rfam family: Bacterial small subunit ribosomal RNA
Source: RNAcentral
CCUACGGGAGGCAGCAGUAGGGAAUUUUCGGCAAUGGGGGGAACCCUGACCGAGCAACGCCGCGUGAACGAAGAAGUUAUUCGUAAUGUAAAGUUCUUUUAACAGGGAAGAAAGAGAAAUUUGACGGUCCCUAAAGAAUAAGCUCCGGCUAACUACGUGCCAGCAGCCGCGGUAAUACGUAGGGCGCCAGGGUUAUCGGGAAUUAUUGGGCGAAAGGGGUGCGUAGAUGGCAUAGUAAGUCUUUUGUAAAAAUGCUGGGCUCAACCCAGUAGGGCAAAAGAUACUGCAAAGCUAGAGUAUGACAGAGGCAAGUGGAACUACAUGUGUAGCGGUAAAAUGCGUAAAUAUAUGGAAGAAAACCAGUGGCGAAGGCGGCUUGCUGGGUCGAUACUGACAUUGAGGCACGAAAGCGUGGGGAGCAAACAGGAUUAGAUACCCCUGUAGUC